UACGGAGGGUGCGAGCGUUGUCCGGAAUCACUGGGCGUAAAGGGCGCGUAGGCGGCCUGGUAAGUAGGGGGUGAAAUCCUGCGGCUUAACCGCAGGGCUGCCUUCUAAACUGUCAGGCUCGAGCACGGUAGAGGCAGAUGGAAUUCCCGGUGUAGCGGUGGAAUGCGUAGAGAUCGGGAAGAACACCGGUGGCGAAAGCGCUCUGCUGGGCCUGCACUGACACUGAGGGACGAAAGCUAGGGGAGCGAAUGGG
Molecule: ribosomal RNA, 253 nt
Filed under: uncultured bacterium
Lineage: Bacteria
Description: partial 16S ribosomal RNA
Rfam family: Bacterial small subunit ribosomal RNA
Source: RNAcentral